UGGGGAAUUGUUCGCAAUGGGCGCAAGCCUGACGACGCAACGCCGCGUGGAGGAUGAAGAUCUUCGGGUCGUAAACUCCUUUCGAUCGAGACGAAUGGCCUUCGGGUGAACAAUCCGGAGGAAUGACGGUACCGAGAGAAGAAGCCCCGGCUAACUCCGUGCCAGCAGCCGCGGUAAUACGGGGGGGGCAAGCGUUGUUCGGAAUUACUGGGCGUAAAGGGCUCGUAGGCGGCCAACUAAGUCAGACGUGAAAUCCCUCGGCUUAACCGGGGAACUGCGUCUGAUACUGGAUGGCUUGAGUGUGGGAGAGGGAUGCGGAAUUCCAGGUGUAGCGGUGAAAUGCGUAGAUGUCUGGAGGAACACCGGUGGCGAAGGCGGCAUCCUGGACCAUUACUGACGCUGAAUAGCGAAAGCCAGGGGAGCAAAC
Molecule: ribosomal RNA, 427 nt
Filed under: uncultured bacterium
Lineage: Bacteria
Description: bacterial SSU rRNA
Rfam family: Bacterial small subunit ribosomal RNA
Source: RNAcentral